This 65-nucleotide transfer RNA is filed under the name Dipodomys ordii (Ord's kangaroo rat). It matches the Rfam family "tRNA". From Rfam's summary of the family: Transfer RNA (tRNA) molecules are approximately 80 nucleotides in length. Their secondary structure includes four short double-helical elements and three loops (D, anti-codon, and T loops). Lineage: Eukaryota; Metazoa; Chordata; Mammalia; Rodentia; Heteromyidae. The record is from Rfam by way of RNAcentral.
GGUGGCUCAGCAGUAGAGCACUUGCCUUGUAUGCAUGAGGCCCUGGGUUCAAUUCCUCAGCACCA